UACGGGGGGGCAAGCGUUGUUCGGAAUUACUGGGCGUAAAGGGCUCGUAGGCGGCCAACUAAGUCAGACGUGAAAUCCCUCGGCUUAACCGGGGAACUGCGUCUGAUACUGGAUGGCUUGAGUUUGGGAGAGGGAUGCGGAAUUCCAGGUGUAGCGGUGAAAUGCGUGGAUAUCUGGAGGAACACCGGUGGCGAAGGCGGCAUCCUGGACCAACACUGACGCUGAGUGAGCGAAAGCCAGGGGAGCAAACGGG
This 253-nucleotide ribosomal RNA is filed under the name uncultured bacterium. RNAcentral's name for it is "partial 16S ribosomal RNA". It matches the Rfam family "Bacterial small subunit ribosomal RNA", at positions 524 to 776 of the family's 1533-position model. The record is from RNAcentral.